UCCAGGAAACAGAUGUGGCCUGAUAAGAGAGGAGGAUGUCAUAUUGUGUGUAGGGUUUCUUUCAUAGUGUGUGUUUUCCUAUUGUCAAUAUGAUGCGUGUUCUUCCACUUCCAGCUGCUUCCCCCCUGUUUCAUUUGACCUCAGGGACAAUCGGCUGGGAACAACACUGGUAGCCUGGUGCUGACACGGGGGUCAACAUCUCUGGACUCUGCACAGCAGAAUAAUAUGGACGUACAGUGUACCACAGCAAUGUAAUCCAUCCUCAUCCCAAAAGACUCAGGACUCUGCUAAGCUUGUACAAAACUACAGUGCUGUAUGUUAUGUGAAUAGUAUAGAUGUGAAGAAAUGGAAAUGUGCAACUUCCUCUCUGCAAGAAGAACUUUCCCUCGGUGAUGCGGACUUGGUCAAAGAUAUUCCUCUGUAAAAUUCAUGAAUUCUUAACUUUGGAGGGUAUAUUUCACUACUGAUCUAUUGGACCGUGAUAAGAAUUCAAAGGUGAAUGGAGCUGGAGGACAUCUUCAAAGAUGGUCGAGAACACCACAGGAAAGCCAAUGAGACUUGAUUAUCAAAGAUGACUGACCUGAGCAGCAUGUGUCAGUCCAGGCAAAUAACCCCUAAAGACAAGGACACAAUCAGAGCAUGUUGGCUCGAGUGGAGUUGACAGUGGUAAGCUUCUGGAGGUGAUAAAGGCCUUUGAACCUAAAAGCUGCUUGAGGACCCCCCUUUGUGCCCUUCCAAGUCCCCUUUGAGACAGGCCGUGGAGGCUUCCACUUUGAUUUUGGGAGUUGCAACCCCAAGACAGUUGCCUUCAUCUCAGUAGGACAGUGAGGUGCAAACAGAGACAGAGAAAUAUCUAUUAUGAGAUUGUAGUGGACACUCACUAUCAGGUCAAAAUGUUUGACCUUAAAAAAAGUACUUGAAAUGCUGGAAAUAAAUCAAUGCAUUAAUAUUCUGAACAUGUAUAUAAUAAUGACGCCAUCAAAUAUAGUUAAUCACCCAGCACGUUUACACAGCGUUAGACCCAGUUUUCAGCCUCACUUAAAACAUUGAUAGGUAAAAUUGUUAAGUGUCUUGGUGAUGUAAAAUAUUGAACACUGUGACACUUUUGCUGUUCAGCUCUUUAUUAGAGAACAGCCAGUUGUGCAAAAAGUGCUUAAACAUUGAACAGUUGAACUUUCAAGUUUAGAGAGUGUCAAAUUAAGUUCACCUGGACAGGUUAGAGUGCAUUUUAGGUUCAUCCUGAAAUUUCACCUGAAAGUGGAAUACCCCUAAACCUUUUGUGAGUAUAGUGCAUACUGUAUCUUUGUCGAGCUACAGUGGUAGCUUGACUUAAACUUUACAUGUAAACAUAGUGUCUUUUAAGGUGGCAGUAUCCCUUUUUCAAAUCACGUUGAAGUCACCAUCAUAGCAGUUUGUGUUUGCAAGACCUCAUAGUAGCGUGUCAUUCAGAGCUCGCCUUUAACACCGGAUUGUUGCUGAAACCUUGAUACACCCUCAUCGCCAUGACAGGGAAACUAUGUUUCAUUAUUGGAAAUGUUUGUUUUUUUUUUCACAUGGAAGGACUCCCUGAGAGAGGUGCACAGUAAGGUUAUGGAACAAAAGAUGUCCCUGCUCAAGUGUUAGGAGCAGUUCAUGCAAUGUCUGCCUGGAAAGAACAAUGUCAAUGUUGGCACUCAUGAUAGAUGAAGCUCCGACUCAUUACUCUGAGACUUUGGAAAAAGACAGACAGACGUAUCCCUAACCCUUCUACCAAAUUUUAUGACACUAUUAGGUACGGUAGAUCUGAUUAGAUGUAGUUAAUAAAACAGAACUCUAUAGAGUGGACCUGUAUAUAUUGUAAGCCACACUCAGCAAAUAAACAAAAAAUAAUAAAAUAAAAAAAUCUGAACUGCUUUAUAAGCCGCACAUAUUCCCCUCUCUAGUGUGCAUGCCUUAGCCUGAUGGUGACCGUACUGUGACAAAGGUAGAAAUGAUUGAUGAUGUCAAAAGUACAAAGUCAGCAGACUAAACUACAGCUAAACUCUUAACAGUUUUAAUUGUUUCCAAGCAGCAGAGAAAAUAUAGUGAUGUUGGAUUUUCUAUUUGUUUGCGUUACUGCUUUGUUUAUGCAAAAGUAAGUUAGUUGUUUCAUAGUUUAAAAAGACUCCCAUAAAAAUGUUCCUGUAAUUCCUGUAAUUCAAUUAAAUAAUUUCCCAUUAUGUGUUAGCAUUAAGCUAGCGGCACUAUGUUAGGUUAAUGAUAAUGGCAGUGACACAAAAUGCAUACAAAUAUGUGGGAAAACAAAUGGCCAACCCUAGGAAAUAGAAACAGCACAAAGAAACACUGAGGCGAAUAUAUUGCUAGUGCCAAAAUAUGCACAACAAAAUUAGUACUGAUAUGUCCCAUUUUUGGCAUGAUG
Molecule: long non-coding RNA, 2398 nt
Organism: Phyllopteryx taeniolatus (common seadragon)
Lineage: Eukaryota; Metazoa; Chordata; Actinopteri; Syngnathiformes; Syngnathidae
Exons: 3
Source: RefSeq, a predicted model, not a curated record